UACACAAAAAAGACAUACCCCACCGCAGCCCAAACCCUAGCUGAAAUGCCAUCCCCACAUUGCACCCUUCCUCCCUCGUCCCCAUCUCCUCGCCGCCGCCGCCACCUCCUCCCCGUCCCCGCCCCCCUCCCGAUCCAGUCUUCUCCCUGCCUCUCCCACCCAUCGCCGAUCUCGCCGUCCUCCUCACCCACCGUUCCCCGUUCCACAGACCUCCCCGUUCCUUGUUCCCCUCAAUUUUCCACCUCUCCCAUAGGAUCCACAUCCAGGAGAGCUCCCUCUCAGAUCCAGAGCCUCCACCUGCAGCGGCGUUGUUGCCGUCACGGUCGAGGGUUUGCGCGCGCGCAUGGUGGGUGUUCUAAUUUGGCCCUGCUCGGCUCUGGCGGCGUUGUUUAAUUCGGCGGUGGCGACCUCUGGUGACAAAGCGGGAGUGGGGAGAUGGUGGCGGCGGCAGCCGUGUGCGCGUCGCGGAGGUCUUUCAGGGAUUCGCUGAAGGUGCUCGAGUGUGACAUCCAGCACGCCAACACACUGUGAGUACCCUCCCGUGAACAAAAGGAAUCCCCUGCCUCGAUUUCUCUAGUCUAGGGUGUGCCGUUUUUGACUGAAUCCGUCUGUCUCCGGUGAACUGCUGCCGUAGGGCGUCGGAGUGAUCAAGGCCGACGGCGCCACGCAUCAAUCCAGCACGCGGGUCACACUCCACAGGUGCGAGUGGUCGCACGCGUACGGCCGGGUGGUGGCGAUGGUGCCGCGGGUGGAGAAGCUCGCCGCCGGCCGCGCGCGGUUGGAGGCUGUGAGCGCACUGCAACACGAGUCCUGGAAGCCCCGCGACGUCCAAUGGCAUUGUGGCGCCUCCUCAAGGUGACCCCUCCUUCCACUCCACUCCACUUCUCCUCUUUAUCCUAGGGUUUGGUUUCGGCUCCACUCUGAUGCUGCUGACAAGCGUGUGCGUGUUAUGUCAGGCGGGUGAGAACAUGCAGAUGUGGGAUGCGACGUGCAUGGGUAUGGCACAGUAGCCCUCCGGUGACGGCCGGGUGUUCGCCGGUAAGAGGAUCAUUUCCUCUAUCUGCUACUCUGCUUCCUAUCCUACUACUAGCACCACAUUAUCACUGUUGCUGUAUUGUUGUAUUCAGGAGCUAUUUUUUUGCUUUCUUACGAUCCGAUUCAGAGGCGUGACAUGCCGGUUUUGUUUGAUUAAGGACUCACUCGACAACGUAUUCCGCUUCCGCGGUCCAUUUUAUUCCACUCUAGUUGUUCACCUAAGUAGGAAGCCAAAUGUGAACUUUUUAACUAGUUAACCAAGAGACACUAAAGAGCAUUUUUUAACCAGUUAAUCAUAUCACCUAAUCCUUACAAAAUCAGGAGGCUACGGACUGAUAUCCUUGUCUGAUGCAUUCAAUGUAUAGAACCCCUAAAGAGUGAAAAUGAGGAUUUGAAAGAUUUUAUACAAGUCUUGGAGCCGGAGAACGAGAAGCUUAAGGUAGCUUACCGAAACAUAAGUUGCAUCUCAGCUGGCUUGUGCACCCCCUCAAUUUUCUGAACUCUUAUUUUGUGCUUCUUAUAAAGUGAUAGCAGCAAUUUUCCCGGUGGCAAGAGCGCGCGGGCGAUGAGGCGCGGCAGAGAGCUGCUCGCGACGACGGAUGGCCUCACUCCACACGUGCGUGAUUAUGGCUGAAAACCCUCGCCUGAAGCUGUAAUCUGUUCUUUUACCACUAGAUCCGAGCCCACACACCGAGUUCGUCGCCGUCGCCCAUCGUCGUACGCUUGUGUUCGUACGUCUAGUCUAGCCUGCGAUUGAUGUACACUUGUGUUUGUCCGUCUAGUCUAGCCUGCGAUUCGGUUUGUUGGUUGGGUUCAGUAGCUAGUUGCUUGUCCCUGUCUAACUGAGCACGAGGCCUUUUUUCAUGCACUGUAUACACAUGCAUGCUUAGUUGAUGCAUAUCUGAUGCUCAAACUGUAAUUGCAAGGCACUGUGUGUCUGCGUUUCAGAUCGAUGCCACUUGAAUUUUCUUUCUUUCUAGGAUACCCACAAGCUUUUGUAUCAUAUAUUCAUAGAAGAAAGUGUCAGACACCCGUUGACCGGAUGCGACUUGAUUUAUGUGCUGUGGUUGCCAAUUUUAAAACCACUUAAUUAAUUCAUGGGUUGCGGUUGAUUGUUGUCGCGGUUGUCAAACAAAGUUAUACUAUCCGACAUGCCUAAUUUUCAUGUGUGUUCGUCAUAGGCUGCCAAGAAUCUUGUAGCUGUGGCCGUGGCACCUUGAGUCUCUAGUAUUUUUUAGUAAUGUUCAGUAAUGUUCACGUUUUGUCUAAUGGAAAGAAGACUACUAGUCUCGGUGAUGUGAUCUCAAGUACACUGCAGAAUAAUUAAGUAACGCAUCCGUUUUUAAAUAUAAGCCCUUUUUUACAGUUUAAUUUAAACUGCCAACACAAUACGUAUGUUUAUGAACAGAGUUAGUACUGUACCAGUACGACAAAUUCCUUUUAGAUUAGUCUCACUCUUGCAUGUUGGUGUCGCAUUCUUCUACAAGGGAGUAUUUUUCUGCGAGGUGUCGUGUUAGGGUGUGUAUGGGUUGCUCCUUCUGGAGUAGGUAGCUGGACUUCGAAGAUUUGGUGCGUCCUGCUGAGCUUGUGCUCCCUGAUUUUCCACUGAUUUCUUGGUGGAGAGGGAGGCAUGCCUUGUUUGUUUGAUCCGUAGGUUUAGCACUUAGGUACACUCCAGAGAAGCAUCUAAUCUGUUAUGUGUUGUUUUUGUUAUGUCAGGCUAAUCUGGGGACCUAUUUCUGUUGUCCUCUACGAUAGCAAAUAAUGCCUAACUUUUGGUCUUCACCCUAGCUAGACCUUGUCUAGAUAAUUCCAUAUUGCAAAAUACUAGCAGAGCAACAACAACAGUAUCUUUUUUCUAGAUAAUUCCACCUAGUUCUGAUGGUUAAAUAUUCAUAGUCAUAGUGAGUGUCCUCCAUUCCAUCAUCAGUCUCUAACAAUCUACUUACUGGAGCCAGGAAAUUGGAUUAAUAGCUCUCAGUCUCUUGCCUCCAUACGGGGGUUGAUUUCCCUCUUACCUCAUUCGUCUCGGUUCUGUUGUAUAAUGCAGCCUGAUUAGCUAUCUGUCAUUUCCAGUAAAAAAUCACACAUGACUCGUGAGAUGUACAGUUGUAAAAAUAUGAAAGAAGUAUAAAUUUACCCACUAUUCCAAGCUGGGCCUAAUACAAAUUUGUCAUUUUUUGUUAAAUAUUGUGCUUCAUGUUUAUUUGUGUUUCUGUAUAGCAUCGUCACAUCUGGCGGAGUGCUCCCUUUGUUGUUACAGCAGCUUUGUAUAGUUGCUUUUAAUUCAGAUUUGUCUAUUUUCUGGCAGAAUGUUCCCUUUCAACAAUAGCCUUCUUUAAUCUUCUUCGGGUUUCCAAGGGGGUUUUGUUCACGACAACCUUGGAGCAGGGAAAACUAACAUGCUACUAAAGCUAACAUGGUACUGAUCCUGAUACUCUUAUAAUUUUUGUGAAUGUAAUAUGUGUCUUGUAAAUGCUUUCUGGGUGCUAGUCCUGCUGUAUGUAAUUAUUUGUAAUAUUCAAGAGCUUGUUAGUCCUUCUAGGACACAGUUUGAUGGAAAUUCUUCGGAUCCUUUCAUUGUUUCGAUGGUUGAUGCAGCAGUUUCGUACUUGAUGUGUUUGUGCUUGCUUAGUUUAGCUAUUGUAUUUGUCGUGACCUUGCUGCCGCAACUGUGCUUUUCGGCCGGGUCGAACUAGUACUACAACUUUUGUUGUUGUAGCCCAUGCCUCAUGUUGGUGUGUAUUCUAAUGAAUAUUUUUCAACCUGAUGCAUGAUGAUCAUGAUUUUGUAGACAACAAGUACCAUUCCCCAUUAAAAAUCCUGAUGCAUGAUGAUCAUGGUCUCGUUUUUUAGAUCUGUUUUGCUGGUGCUUAAAGUUUGACAUGCGUGAAUGAACUCAUUCUUAUAGUUCUUUUUAUUUCUAUGAUCAAUUUCGUUAAAGUUUCACAUGUUAGUAUACUAUACAUUAAAAAAUCCUAGCUAGUGAGAAUAUUUUAGUCACACCAUAAACACAUAUUGGUUAGUGUUAGUCAUACUAUUUACGUGUUGUGUUUUCCACAAUAACAUGAUUAAUUAGGUUCCAUCUUCAGCUUUAACAUCUUCUUUCAAAGGUUCUCAUCGAUUUUUACCGUCAACCUGUAUAUAUUAUACUAUUUUGUUUUCUAUUUUGUUCCUCAUUGGCUACUAUUUUGUUCUUAUUUUUUGCAUAGGUGAAAUGUGAAGCCAAGCGUGAAGUCAUGAAGCCUAUAUGCAAAGAGUAGCAUAUCAUGUAUUGUAAUAGUAGGCUGUAGUAGGCAUAUUUGAGUUGUAGUAGUGUAAAGAUUAUAAUAGACUAAUUUAGUGUUUUUUUGGACGAAUUUUAUAAGUUCUGUGAUCUGUUCAAAAUAUUGAUUUCGUAUGUGAUUUGUAUACCUAUGAAAUGGAAACCUCACAAAUUGUUUGACAAAUUACAAAAUUUAUGGUGUCAACAUGAAUUAUGAGAUCAGCAUGACAUGUGGGACCAAUGUGACUAGUGGGACCAGUACAAAAAUAAAAUGGCCAAAAAAGAAAAUCAAUAGAAAGUAAAAGGCCACAACCCAAAAUAAAAAGGCUAAAAUGUUGGGGAUUAUUGGGCCAGUCCC
RNAcentral lists this long non-coding RNA (4658 nucleotides) under Hordeum vulgare. RNAcentral describes it as "long non-coding RNA (HVUL_LNC012478)". The record is from RNAcentral. Lineage: Eukaryota; Viridiplantae; Streptophyta; Magnoliopsida; Poales; Poaceae.